RNAcentral lists this ribosomal RNA (800 nucleotides) under uncultured bacterium. RNAcentral's name for it is "bacterial SSU rRNA". It matches the Rfam family "Bacterial small subunit ribosomal RNA", at positions 191 to 1011 of the family's 1533-position model. The record is from RNAcentral.
GCCCUACGGGGGAAAAAUUUAUUGCUAUUAGAUGAGCCUAUAUUAGAUUAGCUAGUUGGUGGAGUAAUAGCCUACCAAGGCAAUGAUCUAUAGCUGAUCUGAGAGGAUGAUCAGCCACACUGGAACUGAGAUACGGUCCAGACUCCUACGGGAGGCAGCAGUGGGGAAUAUUGGACAAUGGGCGAAAGCCUGAUCCAGCCAUGCCGCAUGAGUGAAGAAGGCCUUUGGGUUGUAAAGCUCUUUUAGUGAGGAAGAUAAUGACGGUACUCACAGAAGAAGUCCUGGCUAACUCCGUGCCAGCAGCCGCGGUAAUACGGAGAGGGCUAGCGUUAUUCGGAAUUAUUGGGCGUAAAGGGCGCGUAGGCGGAUUAGUAAGUUAAAAGUGAAAUCCCAAGGCUCAACCUUGGAAUUGCUUUUAAAACUGCUAAUCUAGAGAUUGAAAGAGGAUAGAGGAAUUCCUAGUGUAGAGGUGAAAUUCGUAAAUAUUAGGAGGAACACCAGUGGCGAAGGCGUCUAUCUGGUUCAAAUCUGUCGCUGAGGCGCGAAGGCGUGGGGAGCAAACAGGAUUAGAUACCCUGGUAGUCCACGCUGUAAACGAUGAAUGUUAAAUAUGGGAAGUUUUACUUUCUGUAUUACAGCUAACGCGUUAAACAUUCCGCCUGGGGACUACGGUCGCAAGAUUAAAACUCAAAGGAAUUGACGGGGACCCGCACAAGCGGUGGAGCAUGUGGUUUAAUUCGAUGCAACGCGAAAAACCUUACCACUCCUUGACAUGGAAAUUAUACCUAUUCGAAGGGAUA